ACAAGGUUUCCGCGGAAGAUCAUUA
RNAcentral lists this ribosomal RNA (25 nucleotides) under Descomyces sp. H6810. RNAcentral describes it as "partial 18S ribosomal RNA". The record is from RNAcentral. Lineage: Eukaryota; Fungi; Basidiomycota; Agaricomycetes; Agaricales; Bolbitiaceae.